UUGAAGGAUAAUACUUUUAUUCGAUUUUUAAGUAAUAUCUAUAGAAAUAAGUAUAAAGGUUUGGAUAAACUAUUAUAACUUCAGUUUAUUACGUAAUCACUAAAUAAGCUAGACUUUAUAACUAAUAUAAACCAUAUUAUAAACUAAGAAUCAUACUUAAGGAGCACUUAUGUUAAUAUUUUCCAUUAAUUUCUAACUUAUAAAAUACUCGUUUUGAAACUUAAAAGAACUCGUUCCUCGGAGCUCAAUAAGGACGAUAUCAAGGACAUAAGAAGAGGAUUAUUAUUAUUCUGCAAUCAAGGUACUGCUGGGGACGAUGGUACUGCGUAGUGGCAAGGAUUACCACCUUAUUAAAUCAUCUAGUAAUAGUGCUACUAACUUGUAAGGUUAACUUAACUAGAAUGUAAGACCAUAUACUUUAAUAUAAAUUAUCAUUGUCAUGUCAUGUAACGUUAACGUUGUUUACUUUAUUA
Molecule: long non-coding RNA, 473 nt
Organism: Beta vulgaris subsp. vulgaris (sugar beet)
Lineage: Eukaryota; Viridiplantae; Streptophyta; Magnoliopsida; Caryophyllales; Amaranthaceae
Exons: 2
Source: RefSeq, a predicted model, not a curated record